RNAcentral lists this ribosomal RNA (868 nucleotides) under uncultured archaeon. RNAcentral's name for it is "bacterial SSU rRNA". It matches the Rfam family "Archaeal small subunit ribosomal RNA", at positions 53 to 928 of the family's 1478-position model. The record is from RNAcentral.
GCGAGUCAUUGUAGUAAUACAAGGCAGACGGCUCAGUAACGCGUAGUCAACCUAACCUAUGGACGGGAAUAACCUCGGGAAACUGAGAAUAAUGCCCGAUAGAACACUAUGCCUGGAAUGGUUUGUGUUCCAAAUGAUUUAUCGCCGUAGGAUGGGACUGCGGCCUAUCAGUUUGUAGGUGAGGUAAUGGCCCACCAAGACUAUUACAGGUACGGGCUCUGAGAGGAGUAGCCCGGAGAUGGGUACUGAGACACGGACCCAGGCCCUAUGGGGCGCAGCAGGCGAGAAAACUUUGCAAUGUGCGAAAGCACGACAAGGUUAAUCCGAGUGGUUUCUGCUAAAGGAACCUUUUGACAGUCCUAGAAACACUGUUGAAUAAGGGGUGGGCAAGUUCUGGUGUCAGCCGCCGCGGUAAAACCAGCACCUCAAGUGGUCAGGAUGAUUAUUGGGCCUAAAGCAUCCGUAGCCUGCUCUGUAAGUUUUCGGUUAAAUCUGUAUGCUCAACAUACAGGCUGCCGGGAAUACUGCAGAGCUAGGGAGUGGGAGAGGUAGACGGUACUCGGUAGGAAGGGGUAAAAUCCUUUGAUCUAUUGAUGACCACCUGUGGCGAAGGCGGUCUACCAGAACGCGUCCGACGGUGAGGGAUGAAAGCUGGGGGAGCAAACCGGAUUAGAUACCCGGGUAGUCCCAGCUGUAAACCAUGCAAACUCAGUGAUGCAUUGGCUUGUGGCCAAUGCAGUGCUGCAGGGAAGCCGUUAAGUUUGCCGCCUGGGAAGUACGUACGCAAGUAUGAAACUUAAAGGAAUUGGCGGGGGAGCACCACAAGGGUGAAGCCUGCGGUUCAAUUGGAGUCAACGCCGGAAAUCAC